CAUGACCUGGGCCAAAGACAGGCCCAGGCGCCCCGGCCCCUUAUAUUCUCUUAGGGAAGAUAUGACAUAGCUGUGGGGUAUUCGAACCAGGAUUAUGACCUAAGCAAUCCAGCUCCAGAAUCCCUAGGCACUUAAGCCCAACACAUAACUGGUAAGGACAUUUAGAGAAGUGCCCAUUGAGUAUAACAUGGGAAUGGAAGAGGCGAGACAAGCAGAUGCUACUCUGCCUGGAGGGAAUAAGGAGAGCUUCAGAGAAUAAGGAAGCUUCAUGAAGACGUGCAGCUGUAGGGCUGGACACUGGAGAACUGUGUAAAGGAGCUUACACUUUAUCCUGAGGAGAAAAAUUCUUGUGUGGAGGUAAAAAUUACUUGCCCAUAUGUUUCUGUGCCUCAGUGUCUGAAUUUACUUCAUAUUUGGUCCCCUAUGACUGUAUGGGUGAGUGGGGCCUGGACCUGUUUGACCAGGAACAAAUCUGCAAAUGGCUCACCAACUUGGAAUGCUUUCAGAAUCCCAUCCCCCAAGAGGAAGCACAUUUAGAGUCAUUCAGUGGGAAACCCAAAGGACUGUCAGUGAAUUCUGGAGGGAGGCAAAUGAAGUCAUCAACACUUGUGAUAAAUUUACAGUCAGAACCAAAGAGCCAGUUGCUUGAGAACGGAGUUGGAUGAGUUGAAGUUAGGCUUUGUGAAUUUAGAUUUGUUGAGUUAAAAAAACCAAAUACCCAUGUAUGGCCAGAUUCUGCAACUAGUUUCUAUUUGCUCGUUUUGCACAUACUGGUUACCUUAUAAAACCUGAUUAGCCCACCCUAACGGUUUUUGAUGGCCCUAAUUGUUUUUCUCCAGAUGUGUAGCAGUUUCUGUCUCAUCUACAGAGAGGAGCACCAAUCUACCAAAAUUUUCUCAUUUGACAACCAGGGAGCCACUUCAAUGCACAAGGACUCGGCCACAUGCAAAGACCAAGUGCCUGACCUCCAGUCGGGGCAAACCAAGGAGGGCGGUCACUAUGGAAACCACAGUUAAAAGUGAUUCGGAGGUUUACUUCAGAAUUUCAGCACACACUUCCCUUCUUACUAUAUCACGGAUCAGAAGUUUCCCUGAUAUCCUCGCACGGUAUGUGCUCAGUUGAUGCUGGUGGUCUCUUCAUGCUCAAGAAAUGCAAAACACUGGAAGAUAUACACCAGACACCUUACCUGAAAUUUGAAGACUGGGGCGAGGCUGCUCCAGACAAAAGUACCAAAGCUCAGAGCCAGAGAGUUCUCUGGACGCAGAGGCUUUGCAGUAGAGAACUGUGUGAUGGGGCGGGAGAGUCAGCUGCGGACCGAUGCCCCCGGCCCACAGCCCAGGCUAACCAGAUUAUUACCAUCCUUGGUCACGGACAUGCUGACUGCACUCACUUCAGCCAGUAAAUGCUGGUUCUAAAGCCAACAGUCUCCAGUCUCCGGGUGGGAUUGAAAACGUGUGCCUGGGGAGAGCCAUCCCAAGCCAUGGACUGUGAGAGCACCCCUGACCUGCACGCCUGGGACCCCCGCCAGCCAGUUCUGAGGCACCCGCGGCUCAGCUCAGAGUUCCUUGCCUUCAGGCCACACACUGGGGCCCUCCAGACCAAGAAGACAAAUGGAGAAAGAAGACGGUUUGGGGAUUACUGCUGCCCCGCCCACCCGUGGAACUGUUCCAGAAUAUCAAAAACCUGUUGAAAGCCCAGAGUGGCAGUGAGUGCGGUGAGUAACAUAAUAGAAGAAAAAUCAGUGGAUCUCCGUCCAUCGACUAGUUCAUGUCUGCUGCAGAGCCAAAGCUUCAUCCUAGUUUGUUAAUGAAUGUCGAAAUCACUUAAGACUUUUGGGCCUCUGUGGCUCUAUAUUAAAAAUAAGGAGGUUGAUAUGAUGCAUAAUCAUGAGGCUAACUGACAUCUAUUGAGCACUUACUAUGUGCCGGGCACGUAGUUAAAUAUUUUAAAUAUUAACGUGAGUUAAAUAUUUUAGUUGUCACAAAAGCCAUAAUCUCUCCUUUUAAGAUACAAGAAAAUCAAAGCACAGAGAGGUUGAGUAACUUACUCAUUUGGUAGGAGGCAGAACGUGGAUUCGAAACUCCAAGUCCCUGUGUUUCCCCAUCAUGCUUUCGCCGACUUCUUGUGUGUACUCUUGUUCUUGUUGUGUUGUUUCAUCAAGAGGAAGAUGCGCACUCUCUCAUUCCAAUGCCGUGUAUCUGACAUAGAUCAGUCCUCUGUGCACCCACCCAUACUUGACCUCCAAGCAUCACUGAAAAGCUUGUAUUUAUAGUUCAGGUAGGAGAAGCCAGGAAUUUUAUACCUACCUGUAGCUAAAGCAUGAAGUGGAGAGGGACAGUAUGUCGGAUGAAGAAUCACCAACCAGAACAAGCUAGCAAGCCUCAUCAGGAGCAAAUGGAACAAGAUUCAAGGACGAGGAACACACAGCCAUGUGCUGCAGAACCAGCUCUCUGAAAGGGAAAAGUCCUGGUACGUCCUUUCGUAACCCACGUCCUGAGUGGAGGGCUGAGGUGUGCAGGGGGGCCUCAGUCACGUGGGCAGAAACACAGGACUCGGAUUCAGAUGACUGGGAAUCGGUCUUCCUGGUUGCACAAAUAAGCCAAAUGGGCAGAUAAGCCCGUUUUCCUCACGGAACCUGCCUCUGCUUCUGGAAAAUGGGAAUGUGCCAAGCCCCUCAUAGGUCUGUCCUAAGAAGUGAAUGGGAUGCAGAAAGGAUGAAUACUGACCACUUACAUCGAUGUGG
This is a long non-coding RNA of Enhydra lutris kenyoni (northern sea otter), 2743 nucleotides long. RefSeq lists it as uncharacterized. Lineage: Eukaryota; Metazoa; Chordata; Mammalia; Carnivora; Mustelidae. The transcript has 3 exons. The record is from RefSeq and is a predicted model, not a curated record.